This 180-nucleotide ribosomal RNA is filed under the name BTEX-degrading bacterium enrichment culture. Its description in RNAcentral is "partial 16S ribosomal RNA". It matches the Rfam family "Bacterial small subunit ribosomal RNA", at positions 347 to 519 of the family's 1533-position model. The record is from RNAcentral.
GGCAGCAGUGGGGAAUAUUGGACAAUGGGCGAAAGCCUGAUCCAGCCAUGCCGCGUGUGUGAAGAAGGUCUUCGGAUUGUAAAGCACUUUAAGUUGGGAGGAAGGGCAUUAACCUAAUACGUUAGUGUUUUGACGUUACCGACAGAAUAAGCACCGGCUAACUUCGUGCCAGCAGCCGCG